UGGAGCUCGGACGCGAGU
RNAcentral lists this small nuclear RNA (18 nucleotides) under Arabidopsis thaliana (thale cress). Its description in RNAcentral is "snRNA_02886". The record is from RNAcentral. Lineage: Eukaryota; Viridiplantae; Streptophyta; Magnoliopsida; Brassicales; Brassicaceae.